Molecule: ribosomal RNA, 497 nt
Filed under: uncultured bacterium
Lineage: Bacteria
Description: partial 16S ribosomal RNA
Rfam family: Bacterial small subunit ribosomal RNA
Source: RNAcentral
GAUGAACGCUGGCGGCGUGCCUAAUACAUGCAAGUCGAGCGAACAGACGAGGAGCUUGCUCCUCUGACGUUAGCGGCGGACGGGUGAGUAACCCGUGGAUAACCUACCUAUCAGCCUGGGAUAACUUCGGGAAACCGGAGCUAAUACCGGAUAAUAUAUUGAACCGCAUGGUUCAAUAGUGAAAUACGGUUUUGCUGUCACUUAUAGAUGGAUCCGCGCCGCCUUAGCUAGUUGGGAAGGUAACGGCUUCCCAAGGCGACGAUGCGUAGCCGACCUGAGAGGGUGAUAGGGCACACUGGAACGGAGAAACGGUCGAGACUACUACGGGAGGAAGCAGUAGGGAAUCGUACGCAAUGGGCGAAAGCCGGACGGAGCAACGCAGCGUGAGUGAUGAAGGUCUUCGGAUCGGAAAACGCGGUGAUUAGGGAAGAACAAAUGUGUAAGUAACUAGGCACGUCUUGACGGUACCUAAUCAGAAAGCCACGGCUAACUACGUG